This 328-nucleotide long non-coding RNA is filed under the name Homo sapiens (human). RNAcentral's name for it is "HSALNT0107377". Lineage: Eukaryota; Metazoa; Chordata; Mammalia; Primates; Hominidae. The record is from RNAcentral.
AAAAAAAAAAAAGAAAAAAAAGAAAAAAAAAAAAGGUUGUCAGAUCAGAAUCCGAAUAGCCUUUUAUCUUAUCAACAGAUUUUAUUUGGUAGGUUCCCCACAGUUGCUGGCUUUGGUGACAUUUCAGAUUAGGUUGUCAUUUCUUCCCUUAAGCCCCAACAACAGCUUUCUAUCGUCAUGAUUGAUUAAAAAGCCCAGCAAACAAAUAAGCAAAUUGCUACACCACCACUAUCAACCACGAUAAAACUCAGAAACAAAAAUAUUUUCUUUAAGCCAAAGAGAGUUGAUUAAAUACCUCAUAAUGUACUGUGGGUCAGCUGUAUUGGGC